RNAcentral lists this ribosomal RNA (454 nucleotides) under uncultured Prevotella sp. RNAcentral describes it as "bacterial SSU rRNA". It matches the Rfam family "Bacterial small subunit ribosomal RNA", at positions 341 to 792 of the family's 1533-position model. The record is from RNAcentral. Lineage: Bacteria; Pseudomonadati; Bacteroidota; Bacteroidia; Bacteroidales; Prevotellaceae.
ACGGAAGGCAGCAGUGAGGAAUAUUGGUCAAUGGACGAGAGUCUGAACCAGCCAAGUAGCGUGCAGGAUGACGGCCCUAUGGGUUGUAAACUGCUUUUGUACGGGAAUAAAGUGACCUACGUGUAGGUUUUUGCAUGUACCGUAAGAAUAAGGACCGGCUAAUUCCGUGCCAGCAGCCGCGGUAAUACGGAAGGUCCGGGCGUUAUCCGGAUUUAUUGGGUUUAAAGGGAGCGUAGGCCGUGCUUUAAGCGUGUUGUGAAAUGUAGGCGCCCAACGUCUGCACUGCAGCGCGAACUGGAGCACUUGAGUACGCAGGAAGUAGGCGGAAUUCGUCGUGUAGCGGUGAAAUGCUUAGAUAUGGCGAAGAACUCCGAUUGCGUAGGCAGCUGACCAGGCCGUAAAUGACGCUCAUGCACGAAAGUGCGGGGAUCGAACAGGAUUAGAUACCCUGGUA